AAGGGGGGGUGGAUGGUGUAGUGGUAAGCACUGUUCAUGGAAUGCUUUCUCAAGUAGGCACUUGGUGUUGGGGCCACCACUGCUGAGACAAGAAGGUAGUGGGUUCGAAUCCCACCCUCUCCAAAAGGAUAUUAUCACAUCUUGAUGGAUAUUGGGGGUACUCUUUCUUAUCUCAUUUCUAUUGGUAACUGCCACUGCAGGGUGGAGCAAUGUUCAACACUAUGUAUAUAGUCUAGAUGGAUUCAGUAUAGUGUGGGAUUCUAAGGUGUUGUGAUCCCUACAUGUCUAGUUCAGAUGCCAAGGGACUGCUUAGUAUUGCGUGAGCAAUUGUGGGGUCAAAGGCCCCCCUUGAGGGCUAGAUCCAGAAUGGUAUAGUGAAGUCUCUCCAUCAAGGAUGACUCAGUUAUGAAUAGGGGAAAUGUAACUAGAGAGUAGCCGAACAUAAGGGUAGGCUAGUGAGGUGAAGGCUGUCAUAGUCUCUGACUGCAUAUAGCCUUAGAAAAAAUAUGAAGAACAACAACAACAACAACAACAUCA
This 537-nucleotide small RNA is filed under the name Histoplasma capsulatum var. duboisii H88. RNAcentral's name for it is "Histoplasma capsulatum H88 hypothetical RNA". Lineage: Eukaryota; Fungi; Ascomycota; Eurotiomycetes; Onygenales; Ajellomycetaceae. The record is from RNAcentral.